This is a long non-coding RNA of Ictalurus punctatus (channel catfish), 601 nucleotides long. RefSeq lists it as uncharacterized. The record is from RefSeq and is a predicted model, not a curated record. The transcript has 4 exons. NCBI's taxonomy places the organism in Eukaryota, Metazoa, Chordata, Actinopteri, Siluriformes, Ictaluridae.
GGAUCAGCUUCUUAUCUGAGAACUCCUGAAGCACUUGACACAAGAGGUCUCCUGAAUUUCUCUUUUUAAUUUAUUUUAUUUGAAUUAAAAAAUAAUGAAACCCUCAGCUCUAGCUAUCACUUUUUUAACUUGUGCUCUCUUGGUAAUUACGGAAGGACUUCCACGCAUACAGCACCGAUGUCGGUGUACAGAAACAGUGGAUAAAGAAAUCGCUUAUAAUAGAAUUGUGACGCUGGAGAUUUUUCAGCCUGGUCCUCACUGCAAAAAUAUAGAAGUAAUCGCUACAAUAAAAUUCCGUAAAUUGUGCCUCAACCCCAAAGACGCAUGGGUUCAGAAGGCCCUCAAAAAAAGGAACCUGGCACCAUAAAAUGCUAUUGCAUUGAAGAUGGCUGAACAAGAAAAGAAAGAAGAGCUGAAGAUGCAAAAACGUCUUAACAUCCUCCGUGUUUCUUUACUCAUCAUAUGAGUAAUUAUCUAAGUGCUCACAGAGUAUUUUUAUACAGUCGCCUGUAUCUAAUAAAACCAACAGAUUUCUAUUUUUAAUUGCAACAAUUUAGGAACAUUUCAUGAAUAUUACUAAUAAAGUGUUUUCAAAAAAUCA